GAUGAACGCUGACAGAAUGCUUAACACAUGCAAGUCUUUGGCGAAGCUGUGCUUGCACCGCCUAGCCAAGGCGGACGGGUGAGUAACGCGUAAGGAACUUGCCCUGCAGUCAGGGAUAACAGACGGAAACGACUGAUAAGACCUGGUAAAGUCAGGCGGACUCAUGUCCAGCCUGAUGAAAAGAGAUGCUGCAGGAGAGCCUUGCGUCCUAUUAGCUUGUUGGUGGGGUAACGGCCCACCAAGGCGAUGAUAGGUAGCCGGCCUGAGAGGGUGGACGGCCACAAGGGGACUGAGAUACGGCCCUUACUCCUACGGGAGGCAGCAGUGGGGAAUAUUGGACAAUGGGGGCAACCCUGAUCCAGCAAUGCUGUGUGCACGAUGAAGGUUUUCGGAUUGUAAAGUGCUUUCAGCAGGGAAGAAAAAAAGGACGGUACCUGCAGAAGAAGCGACGGCUAAAUACGU
RNAcentral lists this ribosomal RNA (462 nucleotides) under uncultured bacterium. RNAcentral describes it as "partial 16S ribosomal RNA". It matches the Rfam family "Bacterial small subunit ribosomal RNA", at positions 28 to 506 of the family's 1533-position model. The record is from RNAcentral.